GUAUCGGUGAUUCAGUGGUAGAAUGCUCGCCUGCCAAGCGGGUAUCCCGGGUUCGAUACCCGGCUGAUGCA
RNAcentral lists this transfer RNA (71 nucleotides) under Paragonimus westermani. RNAcentral describes it as "tRNA-Gly". It matches the Rfam family "tRNA". From Rfam's summary of the family: Transfer RNA (tRNA) molecules are approximately 80 nucleotides in length. Their secondary structure includes four short double-helical elements and three loops (D, anti-codon, and T loops). The record is from RNAcentral. Lineage: Eukaryota; Metazoa; Platyhelminthes; Trematoda; Plagiorchiida; Troglotrematidae.